Molecule: ribosomal RNA, 253 nt
Filed under: uncultured bacterium
Lineage: Bacteria
Description: partial 16S ribosomal RNA
Rfam family: Bacterial small subunit ribosomal RNA
Source: RNAcentral
UACAGAGGGUGCAAGCGUUGCUCGGAUUUACUGGGCGUAAAGCGUACGCAGACGGUGAGAUAGGUCGGAUGUGAAAGCCCCGGGCUCAACCCGGGAACUGCAUCCGAAACCAUCUCGCUAGAGUAUGAGAGAGGGAAGCGGAACUCCUGGUGUAGAGGUGAAAUUCGUAGAUAUCAGGAGGAUCAUCUGCGGCGAAGGCGGCUUCCUGGCUCAUUACUGACGUUCAGGUACGAAAGCGUGGGUAGCAAACAGG